RNAcentral lists this transfer RNA (73 nucleotides) under candidate division Zixibacteria bacterium RBG_16_53_22. RNAcentral describes it as "tRNA-Lys". It matches the Rfam family "tRNA". Rfam says of the family: Transfer RNA (tRNA) molecules are approximately 80 nucleotides in length. The record is from RNAcentral. Lineage: Bacteria; Pseudomonadati; Candidatus Zixiibacteriota.
GCGCCUUUAGCUCAGCUGGUAGAGCAACUGACUCUUAAUCAGUGGGUCGCAGGUUCGAUCCCUGCAAGGCGCA